RNAcentral lists this ribosomal RNA (626 nucleotides) under uncultured fungus. Its description in RNAcentral is "eukaryotic LSU rRNA". It matches the Rfam family "Eukaryotic large subunit ribosomal RNA", at positions 24 to 664 of the family's 3401-position model. The record is from RNAcentral. Lineage: Eukaryota; Fungi.
CCCGCUGAACUUAAGCAUAUCAAUAAGCGGAGGAAAAGAAACCAACAGGGAUUGCCUCAGUAACGGCGAGUGAAGCGGCAACAGCUCAAAUUUGAAAUCUGGCUCCUUCGGGGCCCGAGUUGUAAUUUGUAGAAGAUGCUUUGAGCGUGGCUCCGGUCUAAGUUCCUUGGAACAGGACGUCAUAGAGGGUGAGAAUCCCGUAUGUGACUGGUCGCCUUCGCCCGUGUAAAGCUCUUUCGACGAGUCGAGUUGUUUGGGAAUGCAGCUCAAAAUGGGUGGUAAAUUUCAUCUAAAGCUAAAUAUUGGCCAGAGACCGAUAGCGCACAAGUAGAGUGAUCGAAAGAUGAAAAGCACUUUGGAAAGAGAGUUAAACAGUACGUGAAAUUGUUGAAAGGGAAGCGCUUGCAACCAGACUUGCACGCGGUUAAUCAUCUGGUGUUCUCACCGGUGCACUUGAUCGUGUUCAGGCCAGCAUCGGUUCAGGUGGUGGGAUAAAGGCCUUGGGAAUGUAGCUUCUUUCGGGGAGUGUUAUAGCCCUCGGUGCGAUGCCGCCUACCUGGACCGAGGACCGCGCUUCGGCUAGGAUGCUGGCGUAAUGGUUGUAAGCGACCCGUCUUGAAACACGG